Molecule: ribosomal RNA, 440 nt
Filed under: uncultured bacterium
Lineage: Bacteria
Description: partial 16S ribosomal RNA
Rfam family: Bacterial small subunit ribosomal RNA
Source: RNAcentral
CCUACGGGAGGCAGCAGUGGGGAAUAUUGGACAAUGGGGGAAACCCUGAUGCAGCGACGCCGCGUGAGUGAAGAAGUCCUUCGUUAUGUAAAGCUCUAUCAGCAGGGAAGAAAAUGACGGUACCUGAGUAAGAAGCCCCGGCUAACUCCGUGCCAGCAGCCGCGGUAAUACGUAGGGGGCAAGCGUUAUCCGGAUUUACUGGGUGUAAAGGGGGCGUAGACGGGGGUGCAAGUCUGCAGUGAAAGGUUGGGGCCCAACCCCCGGACUGCUGUGGAAACUGUACGGCUGGAGUGCAGGAGAGGUAAGCGGAAUUCCUAGUGUAGCGGUGAAAUGCGUAGAUAUUAGGAGGAACACCAGUGGCGAAGGCGGCUUACUGGACUGUAACUGACGUUGAGGCUCGAAAGCGUGGGGAGCAAACAGGAUUAGAUACCCUUGUAGUC